GCGGGUGUAGCUCAAUGGUAGAGCAUCGGCCUUCCAAGCCGAGUACGUGGGUUCGAUUCCCAUCACCCGCUCCA
This 74-nucleotide transfer RNA is filed under the name Desulfotomaculum sp. RNAcentral describes it as "tRNA-Gly". It matches the Rfam family "tRNA". From Rfam's summary of the family: Transfer RNA (tRNA) molecules are approximately 80 nucleotides in length. Their secondary structure includes four short double-helical elements and three loops (D, anti-codon, and T loops). Lineage: Bacteria; Bacillati; Bacillota; Clostridia; Eubacteriales; Desulfotomaculaceae. The record is from RNAcentral. RNAcentral also lists the same sequence under 7 other names.